AUGGGCAAAAAUGUAUUUCCGGCUCUCAAUCUUUUCUAGUCCUCGGCCUACGGCCUCGGACUUAAAAACCGAUUUCGAGCCGGAAAUAUCUCAUUUUCGGCCUUAGGUGCGAAAUAUACUAUUUCAGGUCCACCUUGUAUGAUGUGACUAUCUUCUUAUUCAAUAUUUGUGGUUUUGAGGAAAGCAUUUGCCCAUCAUAUCAAUUAUCAGGCUACUGAAGACAGUGGAUAAAAUUGAUAUGGUGUUUUGUUACCAUGAUAUGGAGGGUAAUGGUGAAUGAGUGUGGGAUGACACUUACAGGACAAUAAGAAUCGCGUUUGAGAGAACUGAAAUGCAUUCUAAGCUAGUAUUUCAUCUUAGCCAAGUAUUCAAGUUUAUGAAACUACUGUCUGUAAGACAGGUAUUACGAUGUAAGCAAAUACAGUUGUAGCAAAUAAUAUUAUAUCUUUGAUAAAUAAAAUUAAUUUGAAUUUA
Long non-coding RNA from Nilaparvata lugens (brown planthopper), 474 nucleotides. RefSeq lists it as uncharacterized. NCBI's taxonomy places the organism in Eukaryota, Metazoa, Arthropoda, Insecta, Hemiptera, Delphacidae. The record is from RefSeq and is a predicted model, not a curated record. The transcript has 2 exons.